GAUCACUUUGUCUACAGCACACACAUAUUUUGCUGUAACCUCUUGCUGGUGGAGAGCAUGAAGGAUCCUCUGUGUUUCAAAGUGUCAGACCAGACCAUCCCCAAACAGCUGCACAUAGUCCAGGCCAAGAACCAGGAAGAGAAGCGUUUGUGGCUGCACUACCUCAAGAGGCUGAUCGUGGAGAACCAUCCUG
Molecule: long non-coding RNA, 193 nt
Organism: Osmerus eperlanus (European smelt)
Lineage: Eukaryota; Metazoa; Chordata; Actinopteri; Osmeriformes; Osmeridae
Exons: 3
Source: RefSeq, a predicted model, not a curated record